AGGGAGGGUGGGCUUCGAGGCCCUGCCAGUGUGAUGUCACCAUAGGAGGCAGCUGAAGGCCGGUGUUUAAUUAUCCUGGUGGCUCCUGCAUCUGCAUUUACACCCCCGGACCCCCGCCUACCCUCCUCAGCUUCCCUUCUCCUUCAGAUGUGAAAUAAGAUCAACCAAGUGACUUAUGGACCCCCACCCCCUCUCCUCAUCACGGGGGAGCCUUCUUUCAGGGCCUGACCACCAGGCUGUGAGAAGCCCAAUCCACAUGGACAGGCCACGUGGGGGUGCUCUGGCCAGUCGUCAGCCAUCUCAGCCCAGGUCCCGGUCAUGGGAGUGCACAAACCACCUUGGAAGCUCCAGGUAUCGUGGUGGACAGAAGAACAAUGGCCCUGGUGCCAGGACUCCUGAUCCUCAGAAUCUGGG
This 414-nucleotide long non-coding RNA is filed under the name Heterocephalus glaber (naked mole-rat). Its description in RNAcentral is "lncRNA (ENSHGLG00100046744.1)". The record is from RNAcentral. Lineage: Eukaryota; Metazoa; Chordata; Mammalia; Rodentia; Bathyergidae.